CCUACGGGAGGCAGCAGUGGGGAAUUUUGGACAAUGGGCGCAAGCCUGAUCCAGCAAUGCCGCGUGAGUGAAGAAGGCCUUCGGGUUGUAAAGCUCUUUUGUCAGGGAAGAAAUGGCUGAGGCUAAUAUCCUCGGCUAAUGACGGUACCUGAAGAAUAAGCACCGGCUAACUACGUGCCAGCAGCCGCGGUAAUACGUAGGGUGCAAGCGUUAAUCGGAAUUACUGGGCGUAAAGCGUGCGCAGGCGGUUUUGUAAGUCUGUCGUGAAAGCCCCGGGCUUAACCUGGGAAUUGCGAUGGAGACUGCAAGGCUUGAAUCUGGCAGAGGGGGGUAGAAUUCCACGUGUAGCAGUGAAAUGCGUAGAGAUGUGGAGGGACACCGAUGGCGAAGGCAGCCCCCUGGGUCAAGAUUGACGCUCAUGCACGAAAGCGUGGGGAGCAAACAGGAUUAGAUACCCUGGUAGUCCACGCCCUAAACGAUGUCUACUAGUUGUCGGGUCUUAAUUGACUUGGUAACGCAGCUAACGCGUGAAAGUAGACCGCCUGGGGAGUACGGUUCGCAAAGAUUAAAACUCAAAAGAGUUAGUGGCGNGNGAGAGCGACGACGACGACGACGGAGGAGGAGG
This 625-nucleotide ribosomal RNA is filed under the name uncultured bacterium. RNAcentral's name for it is "bacterial SSU rRNA". It matches the Rfam family "Bacterial small subunit ribosomal RNA", at positions 338 to 956 of the family's 1533-position model. The record is from RNAcentral.